AGAGUUUGAUCAUGGCUCAGAUUGAACGCUGGCGGAAUGCUUUACACAUGCAAGUCSAACGGCMGCMCSGGAGCUUGCUCCUGGUGGCGAGUGGCSAACSGGUGAGUAAUGCSUCGGAACSUACCSAGUAAUGGGGGAUAACGCMGCSAAAGCUGUGCUAAUACCGCGUACGCCCUGAGGGGGAAAGUGGGGGAUCGCAAGACCUCMCGUUAUUCGAGCGGCCSACGUCCGAUUAGCUAGUUGGUGGGGUAAUGGCCUACCMAGGCGACGAUCAGUAGCGGGUCUGAGAGGAUGAUCCGCCACACUGGGACUGAGACACGGCCCAGACUCCUACGGGAGGCAGCAGUGGGGAAUUUUGGACAAUGGGGGCAACCCUGAUCCAGCCAUUCCGCGUGAGUGAAGAAGGCCUUCGGGUUGUAAAGCUCUUUCAGCUGGAACGAAACGGUACAGGUUAAUACCCUGUGCUAAUGACGGUACCGGCAGAAGAAGCACCGGCUAACUACGUGCCAGCAGCCGCGGUAAUACGUAGGGUGCGAGCGUUAAUCGGAAUUACUGGGCGUAAAGCGUGCGCAGGCGGAUUGUUAAGCAAGAUGUGAAAUCCC
Molecule: ribosomal RNA, 602 nt
Filed under: uncultured bacterium
Lineage: Bacteria
Description: partial 16S ribosomal RNA
Rfam family: Bacterial small subunit ribosomal RNA
Source: RNAcentral